GCUUAACUGAACCACUUUUAAUAAUAACUUCCUACAUACUAAACCCCACCUCAAUAUUUGAGCGCUUCUAUAACUUAUAAAUGUUAUUAUGCUAGAACUAGUAACAAGAAAACCCCUUCUCCUAAAUGUAAGUAUACCUCGAAUUUGAUAUUUAUCACUAUAAAUGUAGUACCUCCCCUAGAAACCCCUACUAACUUUAUUAUUAAACUUACACAAGAACACUACAGGAAAAAUUAAAACAAAAAGAAGGAACUCGGCAAAUUUUAGUCUCGCCUGUUUACCAAAAACAUCACCUCUUGACUAACUAUAAGAGGCCCAGCCUGCCCAGUGAUCAUUUAAACGGCCGCGGUAUCCUAACCGUGCAAAGGUAGCACAAUCACUUGUUCUUUAAAUAAGGACUAGUAUGAACGGCAUCACGAAGACUACACUGUCUCCUUUCUUCAAUUAGUGAAACUGAUCUUCCCGUGAAGAAGCGGGAAUUAUUAUAUAAGACGAGAAGACCCCAUGAAGCUUCAAAUUAAAUAUUAACUACUAUCCAAAUAUCACCUCAACCUAGCAGAUCUAAUUAUUAAUUUUAGGUUGGGGCGACCACGGAGUAAAACAAAACCUCCACAAUGAAAGGGCCUAUUCCCUAAUUCAAGAACAACAACUCUAAUAAUCAACACAUUGACAUAACUUGACCCAAAUCUUUGAUCAAUGAACCAAGUUACUCUGGGGAUAACAGCGCAAUCCAUUUCAAGAGCCCCUAUCGACAAAUGGGUUUACGACCUCGAUGUUGGAUCAGGGUAUCCCGGUGGUGUAGCCGCUACUAAAGGCUCGUUUGUUCAACGAUUAAAACCCUAC
RNAcentral lists this ribosomal RNA (843 nucleotides) under Arthroleptis variabilis (Buea screeching frog). Its description in RNAcentral is "partial 16S ribosomal RNA". It matches the Rfam family "Bacterial large subunit ribosomal RNA", at positions 1516 to 2599 of the family's 2925-position model. The record is from RNAcentral. Lineage: Eukaryota; Metazoa; Chordata; Amphibia; Anura; Arthroleptidae.